Molecule: transfer RNA, 75 nt
Filed under: Salarchaeum sp. JOR-1
Lineage: Archaea; Methanobacteriati; Methanobacteriota; Halobacteria; Halobacteriales; Halobacteriaceae
Rfam family: tRNA
About the family: Transfer RNA (tRNA) molecules are approximately 80 nucleotides in length. Their secondary structure includes four short double-helical elements and three loops (D, anti-codon, and T loops).
Source: Rfam by way of RNAcentral
GGGCACGUAGCUCAGCCCGGAUAGAGCGUUCGGCUUCUAACCGAACGGCCGGGGGUUCAAAUCCCUCCGUGCCCG